CCUCUCAUUAAGAAACGCCAGUAAACUCGUAACCUCAUCACGAAGAGAUCACAUCUCAACCGUCGAUCUUAUAAUCUAUUUAUUCCAUCUCGUCCGUCCAUUAGUCCCAACCCUCUGUAUAAGAAACGCCUUGAUCUCAUUGGUUAUCUAUCAUACCCGCUUUUUAUCAUAGCUCUUUCAGCUUUUUGUUCAUCGCUUCUCUCUAGAGCUCUCUGUUAUGCGGAAUUGUUGGCGUACUCUCCGAUUCAGCUCUGCCGUCGAAUUCGAUCUACGGAUCGGCGUCGUAUAAACAUGGAUCUAGUAGCUCCGUUUUGAUUCAUGAUCCAGAAGACGGAUCUUAGCUGCUGAGAUCUCAGACGGAUCGGUUGAAGUGCUGAUCUGAUGAAGCAUCAUGAUCUCUCGGCAAAAGCUAGGUUCGUCGGAUCUGUGAUAUGCUUUGCGGAUUGAUGAGUCCUAGAGGAGCAAUUGAAGAAGAGGGAAGAGGAUGGAUAUGCGAAUUGAUAAUGAGAUUGAAGGAUGUAUGAGAUGUUUGUUAAGGACGAUGAGUUCUGAUUAGCAUCUUUGUCAUCCGACCUUUGCCAUGACAGGUGCGCUUGCAUGGCAGGUCACACAAAAAUAAUAAUAAAAAUAAUCGUUUUGUGUUUGGUGAGGGGGAGUUCGCACGGGAGAAUUUUUUUUUUUAAGCCCGGGUUCUCCCUCUCACCUUGUGUCUUUGCACUCUCUCUUUCACUCUGAUUCCAUUCGAUUGCGCCAUAAUAUUUCCCCGUACACAUACAUUUUUGAAUUAACUCGAGCAGAUCUGAAGUCAAACGCGGCCAUAUCUAAAUUCCAACAUACCUCCACAGAGGCAAAAGGUACUUUGAAUUUAGUCUUGAUUCUGUGUUUAUUCUGUUUUUUCGUAUUACAACCUCAACAUCGGCUUUUAAUUUUGCUCGUGGAAAAAUGAUUCUAUUCAACAUUAGCAUAGUGGUUUAUCUUGAAGUAUGUUUCAAUUUUAUUUUCGUUAAAGAACGUUCAACAGCUUCACAAACAGCCAUAACUUUUAUUUGGUUUGGUCUAGUGAGUUAUUAUUUUUGUAAGAUUUAAUGUUUAAAUGAUAUUUAAUACUGAGAACAAUCAUCUAGAGUCGUUCACUUUUCACCAUACUGCAAGUAUAUUGUACCUGUCUUUGAUAUUGUACCCUAGAGUCUUGCAAAGUCUUUGGAGUCGGGAGGCCUUGGGGGUGUUCUCAGCUCUUGCAGGAGUGUUUUCAUGUUGAUCCAAUGAGGUAUCUAGAACAAGUAACUUGUCUGACUUUAUUGUGUAUGGUUUGUCAAGAGUUGGAGCCUACAUUUCUGUUUCUUUGUUCAAAAGAGUAUUUUUGUUGUCAAAUUUGAAGAAAUUAUUCAAUUUGGAGUUUGAAGCUUGAAUUAUAUAUUGCUGUUGCUAUGUAUACAUUAGACUUUUUUUUUCAGAAUAUGUUUCAUUUUCUGUUUAUGCUUUGAUCUUUUAUAUAACUUACAUUAUACAUUAUUUAAACAUUCCGAGAUUAUGAAUACCUUUGUCGCUCUAUUUUGGAUAAGGUUUCGUCAUUAGGAUGCUUCGUGUGCAGAGAUUGAGGCGUCGUGUUGUUACUAAUGGGAAGGUUUGUGUUAUAGUAGAUCUGUAAGCUCAAAAUGGCAGAGCUCUCGUUAUGAGAGGGUAAUGCCACAAAACGAAUUUGCUUGCAAAAGGACAUCCUUUGGAUUUGGCAAUUGGCGGAGGGACCGAUGAACUUAUCAUCGGUAAAGCAAUGACGCUGAUCAACUAUGUGAAUUGGAUUGCAAGCAGCUGAGCUAGGACUUUAUUCAUGUAGGGUUACACAAAAGGAGACGAUUUUUUGCUUAAUGCAUACAUUACGUUGUCUUGGGGUCUUACAUUCAUUCCAAGAAGGUUGUUUUGUGCCUUGAAUAAACAAAAAAAAACAUUUUUGGGCCAA
This is a long non-coding RNA of Raphanus sativus (radish), 1957 nucleotides long. RefSeq lists it as uncharacterized. Lineage: Eukaryota; Viridiplantae; Streptophyta; Magnoliopsida; Brassicales; Brassicaceae. The transcript has 3 exons. The record is from RefSeq and is a predicted model, not a curated record.